GAUGAACGCUGGCGGCGUGCCUAAUACAUGCAAGUCGAGCGAACGGACGAGAAGCUUGCUUCUCUGAUGUUAGCGGCGGACGGGUGAGUAACACGUGGAUAACCUACCUAUAAGACUGGGAUAACUUCGGGAAACCGUAGCUAAUACCGGAUAAUAUUUUGAACCGCAUGGUUCAAAAGUGAAAGACGGUCUUGCUGUCACUUAUAGAUGGAUCCGCGCUGCAUUAGCUAGUUGGUAAGGUAACGGCUUACCAAGGCAACGAUGCAUAGCCGACCUGAGAGGGUGAUCGGCCACACUGGAACUGAGACACGGUCCAGACUCCUACGGGAGGCAGCAGUAGGGAAUCUUCCGCAAUGGGCGAAGGCCUGACGGAGCAACGCCGCGUGAGUGAUGAAGGUCUUCGGAUCGUAAAACUCUGUUAUUAGGGAAGAACAUAUGUGUAAGUAACUGUGCACAUCUUGACGGUACCUAAUCAGAAAGCCACGGCUAACUACGUG
This 497-nucleotide ribosomal RNA is filed under the name uncultured bacterium. RNAcentral's name for it is "partial 16S ribosomal RNA". It matches the Rfam family "Bacterial small subunit ribosomal RNA", at positions 28 to 507 of the family's 1533-position model. The record is from RNAcentral.